CCCUUAGAUGUUCUGGGCCGCACGCGCGCUACACUGAUACAAGCAACAAGCGGUUCCUUGGCCGACAGGUCUGGGUAAUCUUGUGAAAUUGUAUCGUGAUAGGGCUUGACGAUUGUAAUUAUUUGUCACAAACGAGGAAUUCCUAGUAAGCGCAAGUCAUCAACUUGCACUGAUUACGUCCCUGCCCUUUGUACACACCGCCCGUCGCUCCUACCGAUUGAGCGGUCCGGUGAAUAGUUCGGACUGCGCCUUGUGCAUCCUGUGCUUGGCGCGGAAAGUUCAGUAAACCUUAUCGCUUAGAGGAAGGAGAAGUCGUANCA
RNAcentral lists this ribosomal RNA (320 nucleotides) under uncultured eukaryote. RNAcentral's name for it is "partial 18S ribosomal RNA". It matches the Rfam family "Eukaryotic small subunit ribosomal RNA", at positions 1470 to 1796 of the family's 1831-position model. The record is from RNAcentral.